RNAcentral lists this ribosomal RNA (217 nucleotides) under Salmonella enterica subsp. enterica serovar Cerro. RNAcentral describes it as "partial 23S ribosomal RNA". It matches the Rfam family "Bacterial large subunit ribosomal RNA", at positions 1132 to 1348 of the family's 2925-position model. The record is from RNAcentral. Lineage: Bacteria; Pseudomonadati; Pseudomonadota; Gammaproteobacteria; Enterobacterales; Enterobacteriaceae.
GCGUAAUAGCUCACUGGUCGAGUCGGCCUGCGCGGAAGAUGUAACGGGGCUAAACCAUGCGCCGAAGCUGCGGCAGCGACACUAUGUGUUGUUGGGUAGGGGAGCGUUCUGUAAGCCUGUGAAGGUGGCCUGUGAGGGUUGCUGGAGGUAUCAGAAGUGCGAAUGCUGACAUAAGUAACGAUAAAGCGGGUGAAAAGCCCGCUCGCCGGAAGACCAA